AGAGUUUGAUCGUGGCUCAGGAUGAACGCUAGCGGCAGGCUUAAUACAUGCAAGUCGAACGGCAGCACGUGUAGCAAUACAUGGUGGCGAGUGGCGCACGGGUGCGUAACACGUAUGUAACCUACCUCUAACAGUGGCAUAACAAUGAGAAAUUAUUGCUAAUUCCGCAUGUGGUUAAUUUGAGGCAUCUUAGAUUAACUAAAGAUUUAUCGGUUAGAGCUGGGCAUGCGUCCCAUUAGCUAGUUGGUGAGGUAACGGCUCACCAAGGCAUCGAUGGGUAGGGGCUCUGAGAGGAUUGUCCCCCACACUGGUACUGAGACACGGACCAGACUCCUACGGGAGGCAGCAGUAAGGAAUAUUGGGCAAUGGACGCAAGUCUGACCCAGCCAUGCCGCGUGAAGGAAGACGGCCCUAUGGGUUGUAAACUUCUUUUCUCAGGGGGUAAACUCUGGAACGUGUUCCGGACUGAAAGUACCUGAGGAAUAAGCAUCGGCUAACUCCGUGCCAGCAGCCGCGGUAAUACGGAGGAUGCGAGCGUUAUCCGGAUUCAUUGGGUUUAAAGGGUGCGCAGGCGGAUAUAUAAGUCGGAGGUGAAAUUCUGAUGCUCAACAUCAGCCGUGCCUUCGAUACUGUAUAUCUAGAGUCAAGUUGGAGUAGGCGGAAUGUGUUGUGUAGCGGUGAAAUGCUUAGAUAUAACACAGAACACCGAUCGCGAAGGCAGCUUACUAAACUUUGACUGACGCUCAUGCACGAAAGCGUGGGGAUCAAACAGGAUUAGAUACCCUGGUAGUCCACGCUGUAAACGAUGAUUACUCGCUGUUGGCGAUACACAGUCAGUGGCUAAGCGAAAGUGAUAAGUAAUCCACCUGGGGAGUACGACGGCAACGUUGAAACUCAAAGGAAUUGACGG
Molecule: ribosomal RNA, 910 nt
Filed under: uncultured bacterium
Lineage: Bacteria
Description: bacterial SSU rRNA
Rfam family: Bacterial small subunit ribosomal RNA
Source: RNAcentral